RNAcentral lists this ribosomal RNA (280 nucleotides) under uncultured bacterium. RNAcentral describes it as "partial 16S ribosomal RNA". It matches the Rfam family "Bacterial small subunit ribosomal RNA", at positions 27 to 291 of the family's 1533-position model. The record is from RNAcentral.
GAGUGAACGCUGGCGGCAGGCCUAACACAUGCAAGUCGAGCGGCAGCGGGUCCCCGCGAGGGGACGCCGGCGAGCGGCGGACGGGUGAGGAACACAUCGGAAUCUGCCUGGUUGUGGGGGAUAACGUAGGGAAACUUACGCUAAUACCGCAUGCGACCCUGAGUCGACGGACUGGGGGUGAAAGUGGGGGACCUUCGGGCCUCACGCGACCAGAUGAGCCGAUGUCGGAUUAGCUAGUUGGCGGGGUAACGGCCCGCCAAGGCGACGAUCCGUAGCUGGU